GCUCACUUUGGCAGCAUACAGUAAAAUUGGAAUGAUACAGAAAAGAUUAGUAUGGUUUUUGUACAAAGACACAUAAAUCUGUGAAGCAUUCCAUUUUGAA
Ictidomys tridecemlineatus (thirteen-lined ground squirrel) is the source of this 100-nucleotide small nuclear RNA. The record is from Ensembl. NCBI's taxonomy places the organism in Eukaryota, Metazoa, Chordata, Mammalia, Rodentia, Sciuridae.